Molecule: ribosomal RNA, 2643 nt
Filed under: Pirellulales bacterium
Lineage: Bacteria; Pseudomonadati; Planctomycetota; Planctomycetia; Pirellulales
Description: partial 23S ribosomal RNA
Rfam family: Bacterial large subunit ribosomal RNA
Source: RNAcentral
GGUCAAGCUACUAAGGGCGCAUGGGGGAUGUCUUGGCAUCAGAAGGCUUUGAAGGGCGUGGAAGACUGCGAUAAGCCCGGGGAAAUUGUCAAACGAGUGUUGAUCCCGGGAUUCCCGAACUGACGUACGCUGAAUCCAUAGGCGUGCGUGGCCAACGCGGCGAACUGAAACAUCUAAGUAACCGCAGGAAGAGAAAGAAAAAUCGAUUUCCUCAGUAGCGGCGAGCGAACGGGAAACAGCCCAAACCGCGAGGAUUUUCCUCGUGGGGUUGUAGGGCCCUUCCCAUGGGAGUCACAAAGUUUUUUGCUAGCGGAACUGCUUGGAAAGGCAGGCCAUAGCGGGUGACAGCCCCGUACGCGACAGCGAGAAACCUCCCGAAGGGUACCUGAGUAGGUCGGGUCACGUGGAACCCUGACUGAAUCUACGGGGACCAUCCCGUAAGGCUAAAUACUCUCUGAUGACCGAUAGCGAACUCAGUAGGGCGACUGAAAGAUGGGAAGAACCCCUGCUAGGGGAGGAUACUGAACCUGAAACCAUGUGCCUACAAGCGGUCGGAGGACUAUGGCUCAUUUAUGGGCAAGGUCUGACGGCGUGCCUUUUGCAUAAUGAUCCGGCGAGUUACCGUCAGUGGCUUGGUUAAGGCCUUCCGGGCUGAAGCCGAAGGGAAACCGAGUCUGAAUAGGGCGACACAGUCGCUGGUGGUAGACGCGAAUCUGCGUGAACUACCCAUGAGCAGGUUGAAUCGCGGGUAAUACCGCGUGGAGGACCGAACCCACUUGGGUUGAAAACCGAGGGGAUGACUUGUGGGGAGGAGUGAAAGUCUCAUCAAACGCAGGGAUAGCUCGUUCUCUCCGAAAUAGCUUUAGGGCUAGCCUUGAGUCACUACGCAACGGGGGUAGAGAUACUGAAUCGGUUUGGGGGCCUUACCCGGCUACCCUGCUGAACCAAACUCCGAAUACCGUUGCGACUAUCUCAGGAGUCAGUCCGCGAGGGAUAAGCUUCGCGGUCGAGAGGGAAACAACCCCGAUCAUCGGCUAAGGUCCCGAAGUAGAACUCAGUCAAAAAGGAAGUUGAGUUGCUGUGACAGCCAGGAUGUUGGCUUAGAAGCAGCCACCAUUUAAAAAGUGCGUAAUAGCUUACUGGUCGAGCAAUUCAGCGCCGAUAAUGAACGGGAGUAAGUUCUACACCGAAGCCGUGGGCUGUAUUGGUCUAUUAGACUGAUACAGCGGUAGGAGAGCGCUGAAGGUCAGAUACAAGCCGUACCGUAAGGAGCGGUGUUGGGGCCUUCAGGUGAUUAUGCCGGAAUGAGUAACGAUAAAGCAGGUGAGAAUCCUGCUCGCCGAAAGCCUAAGGUUUCCUGGGGAAGGUAAAUCCGCCCAGGGUUAGCCGGUUCCUUAGUCGAGGCCGAAAGGCGUAGACGAUGGACAGCAGGUCAACAUUCCUGCGCCACGCAGAAGGACCGAUGGGGGGACGGCGCCCCAAGGGUGAGGGGACUGCUAGAAGUGUCCCUCGCCUGCCGGCGAGUGGAGGGUAGGAAAAUCCGCCCUCGUAAUCUCCAAGGCGGGACAACCGCUCUUACGUUCGGGAUGUCAUCCCAACGGCGUCCAAGAAAAGCCCCUAAGGGUUGAGCUCUGCGUGACCGUACUAAAACUGACACAGGUAGGCGAGACGAGAAGUCUCAGGCGCUCGGGAGAACACUGGUUAAGGAACUCUGCAAAUUGACCCCGUAAGUUCGCGAUAAGGGGUGCCUCCGAAGGUUCACGCUUUUGGAGGUCACAGUAAAUCGGCUUCAGCGACUGUUUAUCAAAAACACAGGACUCUGCGAACUCGUAAGAGGAUGUAUAGAGUCUGACGCCUGCCCGGUGCCGGUAGGUUAAGGAAGAGGGUUAGCCUUCGGGCGAAGCUCGCGACCGAAGCCCCGGUAAACGGCGGCCGUAACUAUGACGGUCCUAAGGUAGCGAAGUUCCUUGUCGGGUAAGUUCCGACCUGCAUGAAUGGCGUAACGACUGAAGCACUGUCUCAACCAGUGACCCGGUGAAAUUGUAGCCGUGGUGAAGAUGCCACGUUCCCGCAGCUAGACGGAAAGACCCCGUGAACCUUUACUGUAGGCUGGUAUUGGGCUGUGGUAUGUCUUGUGUAGAAUAGGUGGGAGGCUGUGAUCUGGGCGCGCUAGCGUUCAGGGAGCCACCGUUGAAAUACCACCCUGGACCUACUUUAGUUCUAACCCCGUCCCGUGAAUCCGGGCGGGGAACAGUGCCAGUUGGGCAGUUUGACUGGGGCGGUCUCCUCCAAAAGAGUAACGGAGGAGCCCAAUGGUACCCUCAGCCUGGUUGGCAAUCAGGCAGCGAGCGCAAAGGUAGAAGGGUGCUUAACUGCGAGACUUAUCAGUCGAGCAGAUACGAAAGUAGGGCUUAGUGAUCCGGCGGUGCUGGAUGGAAAGGCCGUCGCUCAUCAGAUAAAAGGUACUCCGGGGAUAACAGGCUUAUCGCUUCCGAGCGUCCAUAGCGGCGAAGCGGUUUGGCACCUCGAUGUCGGCUCAUCACAUCCUGGGGGUGGAGAAGCUCCCAAGGGUUUGGCUGUUCGCCAAUGAAAGUGGUACGUGAGCUGGGUUCAGACCGUCGUGAGACAGGUCGGUCCCUAUCU